AUUGAACGCUGGCGGCAGGCCUAACACAUGCAAGUCGAGCGGAAACGGCAAUAAAGAUUCUUCGGAUGAUUUAUUGGACGUCGAGCGGCGGACGGGUGAGUAAUGCUUAGGAAUUUGCCCAGUCGAGGGGGAUAACUAUUGGAAACGAUAGCUAAUACCGCAUACGCCCUACGGGGGAAAAGAGGGGACCUUCGGGCCUUCUGCGAUUGGAUAAGCCUAAGUGAGAUUAGCUAGUUGGUGAGGUAAUGGCUCACCAAGGCGACGAUCUCUAGCUGGUCUGAGAGGAUGAUCAGCCACACUGGAACUGAGACACGGUCCAG
This 320-nucleotide ribosomal RNA is filed under the name uncultured Vibrio sp. RNAcentral describes it as "bacterial SSU rRNA". It matches the Rfam family "Bacterial small subunit ribosomal RNA", at positions 30 to 334 of the family's 1533-position model. The record is from RNAcentral. Lineage: Bacteria; Pseudomonadati; Pseudomonadota; Gammaproteobacteria; Vibrionales; Vibrionaceae.